This 247-nucleotide long non-coding RNA is filed under the name Populus trichocarpa (black cottonwood). RNAcentral describes it as "long non-coding RNA (PTRI_LNC000827)". The record is from RNAcentral. Lineage: Eukaryota; Viridiplantae; Streptophyta; Magnoliopsida; Malpighiales; Salicaceae.
GAUCAUCACUUUUCGUUGAGCUCUAACCGUGUACCUCCUCACCAUGUCAUUAUCUUCAUCUCUCUCCAUAAAGAAAACAACCCUGUCUUCGGGAGCAAGGCCUUUCUGCUCUACAAAACGAUGCCAAGUAGAGCGUAAAAGAACGGGUUUUGGGUAUGCUCCAGUCAGACGGGUUGCCAAGCAAAACCUCCAUACACUAUCAGUAGCAUCGACUGCUUCAAAUUUCAUCAUAUGGGCUCCUUCAGGA